CGCGUUCGCAGCGCUCCGCGGGCCGGGGGCAGCGGGCAGGGCCGGGCGAGCGGAGUCGGAACAGGGCUGCACCCCCCGAGCCCCGGGCGCUCCCCUCUCCAGGCGGUGCAAGCGACGGCGUGCCGGAAAAUCCCGGCGGGGCAGCGCCGGGCGGUGUGCAGGCGGCGCAGGAGGCGGAGCGGGCUCCGGGCGCUCCCCGCCCUUUCGGCCGCCGCCUUUGGAAGGUCGGGCCAGGCGCCCGUCCCGUCCCUCCGGCUCCAUCUCUGGGAACUUCUCUCUGCCUUCACAGCUCCGUGCCGGAGAGUGGCAGAAAGGUCCCUGCUGCUUGCCCUGUCCUCGGUGGGCAGAGAGCUCUGACCUCCGCCGGAUGGGCUGCCGAAUUCUGAAGCGCUCACCAGAGAUCUGCCUGGGAGGAGAAGCAGAGCCAAGCACUGAGAACUGACAAGUGAGCUCCGGGUGAGGGACCUGCCGUUUCCCCCCCUGGCCCUUGGUGUGGGGACCUCCUGACGCUCCCCUUCCUGUGCUGGGAGUGUUUCUCCUCUCAUCCGGCCAAGCCAGAGACCUCCUAGGGAACAAGCAGGGAAGGUUUAAGCACCGAGAUCUCCCAAGUAAGAAGUGACAUGACAAAAGGAAAUGGCCUCAAGUUGCAGCAGGGAAGGCUUAGGUUGGAUUUGAGGAGAAAUUUCUUCACUGGAAGGGUGGUCAGGCCUAGGAGCAGGCUGCCCAGGGAAGCCCCCAUCCCUGGAGACAUUUCAAGGGUGUCCAGAUGUGGUGUUUAGGGACCUGAUUUGGGAGGGGCUUGGCAGUGCUGGGGCAACAGCUGGGCUCAGUGACCUUAGAAGGCUUUUCCAACCUAAAGGAUCCUAUGGUUCUGAACAGCCUUGACCCCUCUGGCUCAAAGACAGCACCUGGAUACAUAGGGAGGGAGGGAGAGAAAUCCUCUCUUCACAUGUGCCAGUUCAUCUGUGAAACUCAUCCCGGCAGGACAGCGUGAAGACUGAAAGUGUAAGAAGAUGUGGGGUGCAAUGGAGAAUGUGGCAGGAGCACCCAACACACAAGUGCACGAGUUUUGCUUUUUGCUUGGAUUGAAACUCAGAAGUUGUAAGGAGUUUGGGAAUGAGAUGGGAUUUUUCAGAAGAAGAGGAAGGAGGAGAAGAAGCAGAAAAAAUUAUUGUUACAGUCCUGGCAAAAUCUUUUGUUCUAGCUAAUAAAAGAAGUUAAAAAAAAAAGCA
This 1232-nucleotide long non-coding RNA is filed under the name Serinus canaria (Common canary). RNAcentral describes it as "lncRNA (ENSSCAG00000008737.1)". Lineage: Eukaryota; Metazoa; Chordata; Aves; Passeriformes; Fringillidae. The record is from RNAcentral.